RNAcentral lists this ribosomal RNA (465 nucleotides) under uncultured organism. Its description in RNAcentral is "bacterial SSU rRNA". It matches the Rfam family "Bacterial small subunit ribosomal RNA", at positions 28 to 507 of the family's 1533-position model. The record is from RNAcentral.
GACGAACGCUGGCGGCGCGCCUAACACAUGCAAGUCGAGCGGGGAUAUGAUUUCGGUUGUAUCCAAGCGGCGGACGGGUGAGUAACGCGUGAGGAACCUGCCCUUCAGCGGGGGAUAGCGUCUGGAAACGGACGGUAAUACCGCAUAACGUAUAUUGAAGGCAUCUGAGAUAUACCAAAGGAUUUAUUCACUGAAGGAUGGACUCGCGUCCGAUUAGGUAGUUGGUGAGGUAAGGGCCCACCAAGCCCGCGAUCGGUAGCCGGACUGAGAGGUUGAUCGGCCACAUUGGGACUGAGACACGGCCCAGACUCCUACGGGAGGCAGCAGUGGGGGAUAUUGCACAAUGGAGGGAACUCUGAUGCAGCGACGCCGCGUGAGGGAAGAAGGUCUUCGGAUUGUAAACCUCUGUCUUCUGGGACGAAAGAAAUGACGGUACCAGAGGAGGAAGCCACGGCUAACUACGUG